Molecule: ribosomal RNA, 492 nt
Filed under: uncultured bacterium
Lineage: Bacteria
Description: partial 16S ribosomal RNA
Rfam family: Bacterial small subunit ribosomal RNA
Source: RNAcentral
AGUGAACGCUGGCGGUAGGCCUAACACAUGCAAGUCGAACGGCAGCACAGUAAGAGCUUGCUCUUACGGGUGGCGAGUGGCGGACGGGUGAGGAAUACAUCGGAAUCUACUUUUUCGUGGGGGAUAAAGUAGGGAAACUUACGCUAAUACCGCAUACGACCUACGGGUGAAAGCAGGGGAUCUUCGGACCUUGCGCGAUUGAAUGAGCCGAUGUCGGAUUAGCUAGUUGGCGGGGUAAAGGCCCACCAAGGCGACGAUCCGUAGCUGGUCUGAGAGGAUGAUCAGCCACACCGGAACUGAGACACGGUCCAGACUCCUACGGGAGGCAGCAGUGGGGAAUAUUGGACAAUGGGCGCAAGCCUGAUCCAGCCAUACCGCGUGGGUGAAGAAGGCCUUCGGGUUGUAAAGCCCUUUUGUUGGGAAAGAAAAGCAGCAGGUUAAUACCCCGCUGUUCUGACGGUACCCAAAGAAUAAGCACCGGCUAACUUCGUG